AACGAACGCUGGCGGCAUGCCUAACACAUGCAAGUCGAACGAAGGCUUCGGACGUAGUGGCGCACGGGUGCGUAACGCGUGGGAAUCUGCCCUUAGCUUCGGAAUAACAGUUAGAAAUGACUGCUAAUACCGGAUGAUGUCGCAAGACAAAAGAUUUAUCGGCAAAGGAUGAGCCCGCGUAGGAUUAGCUGGUUGGGGGGGUAAAGGCCUACCAAGGCGACGAUCCUUAGCUGGUCUGAGAGGAUGAUCAGCCACACUGGGACUGAGACACGGCCCAGACUCCUACGGGAGGCAGCAGUGGGGAAUCUUGGACAAUGGGCGAGGGCCUGAUCCAGCAAUGCCGCGUGAGUGAUGAAGUCCUUAGGGUUGUAAAGCUCUUUUACCCGGGAUGAUAAUGACAGUACCGGGAGAAUAAGCUCCGGCUAACUCCGUG
RNAcentral lists this ribosomal RNA (433 nucleotides) under uncultured bacterium. RNAcentral describes it as "partial 16S ribosomal RNA". It matches the Rfam family "Bacterial small subunit ribosomal RNA", at positions 29 to 507 of the family's 1533-position model. The record is from RNAcentral.